AAGUUUUAUUCUUGCUUUUUCGUUCAUUUUUUGCUUGUUCUAUAUGUAAAUUUUUGUAUGAUUUUGUUUAAGGUUCUUAAUGGGUCUUGGAUUUAUUUGUGUAUUUCUCAUUAGUUAUUAUUGGUUGGUCAAGUGUCCUUGUAUUUAGCAAUGCAUUAUAGUUUCGGUUAAAUUUUGUGCCAGCAGCCGCGGUUAUACCUUGGAAGCGUUUGAAUGAGUUCGGUGUUGUAGUUAUAUAGUUAUUUUGUGUAAGUGAUUUUGUUUAAGUGAUUUUUAGGUGAAAUUUUUAUUGUUUUUGUUUGUUUUUUAUAUGUUUGGAGACUAUGAAAUUUUAUUUUUAAACUAGGAUUAGAUACCCUAUUAUUUUAGGAUGUUAAGUUUUUUGCCGGAGUAGUAUUAGUUAUGUUCUUGAAACUUAAAGAAUUUGGCGGUAUCUCAUUCCGUUCAGAGGAAUCUGUCUCGUUAUCGAUAGUCCACGUUGGACCUUACUUAAUUGAUUUGGUUUGUAUACCGCCGUUUAUUGAUUAUCUUUUUAGAGGUUAUGUUAAUUUUCUGGUUUCUUUAUUUUGUUUUAUUUCAGGUCAAGGUGCAGCUUGUUUUUAAGUGGAAUGAUGGAUUACAUUGGUAUUUGUUUUGUGGAUUGUUGAUUUUAAUAUCGGCAUGAAAUUGGAUUUGGUUGUAAUAAUUUGUAGAUUGUUAUUAUGAUAUUGGUUCUGGGAUAUGCACACAUCGCCCGUCGCUCUCGUUUGUUUAUUAUGAUGAGAUAAGUCGUAACAAAGUGGUUGUACCGGAAGGUGCGGCUGGAUUGAUAU
Molecule: non-coding RNA, 812 nt
Filed under: Nasutitermitinae sp.
Lineage: Eukaryota; Metazoa; Arthropoda; Insecta; Blattodea; Termitidae
Source: RNAcentral